Pongo pygmaeus (Bornean orangutan) is the source of this 4000-nucleotide long non-coding RNA. RefSeq lists it as uncharacterized. The record is from RefSeq and is a predicted model, not a curated record. The transcript has 3 exons. Lineage: Eukaryota; Metazoa; Chordata; Mammalia; Primates; Hominidae.
UGAACUAGUUCCUGGAAAUGCAGGAGUAGACAAGAAAGGCUUGACUUCCAUAGGGGUCUUGCAGUUUACUGAGAUGCACAAUUAUGUUGUUACAAUUGGGAAGAAGAGACAUACAAGUCCUGGGCGACUACAGACAGCAAGAUGUCCUUGUUUACCAACAGCCCAAAUUCUGCAUGCAGAAGACACCUAUCUAAGUCGUAGAGUCUCCAAAGAAAUUGCCUGAAAGCUCCGAUUUGAAUGGAAAGUUUUUCUGUAGUUGUGGAUGGAAACCUGAGCCAUCCUAUAUUGUGCAGCUUUACACUGUCAGUGACCUUGUGAUGUGGCUCUGAGUUUUCACAAGGUCACCCAGGCCUGACAGAACACACAACCUAAGGCACAAGGGUUGCUGUACCAGCACAUCUGUACUUGACAUCGCGUGUCCCUGCGUCCUGGCCGAGCCACAGAGAACAAAACCACGCUCAAGGCCGGCACAGUCCCACCAGCAGGCCCUUGGAGGAGCGUCAGAUCAUGCCACGGACACAGGACCCAUCUACAUGGCUUCUUGGCCCUGAGGAGAUGGGCUGCUGAAGCCAGCACCUCCAAUUCUGUCUAUAGUGGAAGACAGAGAGGCCGAGGACUGAAUACCUGCUGUCUGAGUUGGUUCAAUGUACACGAACGGGACGUUAAUCCAGGCAGGUGAGAUGUGAGAAGGAGCAACUUAGAAAGUCACCCAUCUCACACCUGUAGCCUGAACUUGACAAUUCUACUCCUAUAACAACAACAACAGCUGCAGCAACAUUCAGAUGCCCCCACUGUGAGCUCCUGUAUUUUUAUUUCCGAAGACUUUCAAAGAGGGACAUCUUACCCCACGGCGAUGGAUUGGGAAACACAGAGAACAAAGAUCCUAAGAAUCUAAGAUUUUUGUAUUUUUUUAAAUAACAAAAAUGGAUUAAUCCUGAAGAAACUGAAAAAAAAGGAGUCUUAGAAGGGAAUAUUAAUGCAUGCAUAUUUUUGGUACAUUAAAAACUCCAACGUACUAAUUCAAGCACUGUUUACUUUUUGUAUUUAACAGGAUUGCUAUUUUCAAGGGAAAAACAAGAUAUUUUCUGAGUGCCAAAAACUACUUACUCAUGAAGUCUGAAAUACCAUUAUUAGUAGUAGUAAUUCUUACAUUUAGCAUCUGUGAAUAACUUCUUAUACGAGAACACUAUUUUGGGUCAGCUGAAGGCUAAAAAUAAUGAGUUGGCUUUCUGCCUUUGUGUAGUGAGUCAAAUAGCUGCCAAUUAAUAUAAUGGAUUUUUUUUGUUCCUGUGAUAAAUUUCAGAAAAUGAGAACAAAUAGUUGUUGGUGUUUCAUAAUUUCCAAUGGAAAGAAUAUAUUUCUCACAAGUUUAAAGAUUGACUGCACUCUUAAGUAACCAAACAAUUACAAGAAGCUGCCGGUGUAUUUCUGUGGUUUAGCAAAAGGGCCAAGUCGGAAGGAAAAGACAUUCCCAGCAUUUUCUAAAGCUAGAUAAAUACAGAAACGAAAUAUAGAUGAAAGAUGGAACUGCUCUCUAUAGCAUCUGCCAGAUUCCUCGACUUUUUGGCACACUGAUUGAAUUUGGCAAAGGUACCCAGUAGCAAUCUUUUCCAUUAAAAGGAGCAGCAUAUACUUUAUUUUACCAUACUGUUUGUGUAUUUUUGACCCUCCAAAACUCUCUUUUUUAGAAGGCAAUUAUUUCUACAGAGUUGGCUGCAAUUACAUUUAUUUGAAACGGAUCAUUUAUCAACAAAAAAAGCUGCGGGGCAUAGCUACUGUUGAACAGAUCCAACGGACCUACAGGUCGUCAGGAAAGUGUCUUUCUUUGAAACCAAAAGAUGCUUUAACAUGUGCCAGCAUCAUCUUUUGCCAAUCUAACGCUUUUGAUAUCCAAACCUAUUUAAAUUUGGAGGAAUCCUGGACUGUUCAAUUUAGGCAAGAUAAGCUACCCAGCUCUGUCGUUUUCUUCUAUUUGUGAUCAGAAAAACUGUAACGUAGUCCAACAUUCCUAAUUUUGGUAACAUGAUGAUGUUAAGAAAAGGAAUAACUCUCCCGUCCAAAAUCAAAUUUUUGUGGAAUCCAAUACUUCUUAACCCUGAAUUUUUUUCUGAGCUGGCAGUGAUUCUAUAGUAAACUUCUGAGGAUAUAUAAGUAACAAUCUCUAAAAAUAUGACACGCGGCAGCAAGUAUGAAGGCAAUGGUUUCUGGCCUCACUCAACUCAGGAAAGAGAGGCUCACACCUGAUAAGCUUUUUACAUAACUCAGAGGGAAAUGACUUUUUGUUUUCAGAUUUUAUUGGUUUCUUCUAAACCAAACAAAAGCAAAAGAUGAGGGGUGUUCACCUGUUGCUAUGAAGUUUUUGAGUGCAACAUUAUGGUCAGAUAUUUGGUUUUUAAACAGCCCCAAAUUGAGGCAUACUGUAUAGCUGACAGUGACUUGGAAAUACUAUUGUUACUAAUGUUAUUUGCCAUCUAGUGCACUCUUUCUUAAUCAUUAAGUAGCAGCUAAUUUAAAGCAGUGGAAGAGUAUUAGCUUCAUGUGAGCGCCAGAAAAACGCUGUGGUUUCAACAUAAAGUUAGGAGCCAACAGCGACAGAUAUAAAAUAUGAAGAUGUAUAAUUUGCCAAGUUUAAAAUCCCCAAACCAACAUGGGAAUGCUUCACAGGUUUAUAUGUGCGUAAAGUGAAGACUGUUUUGCACAGACUUAAAAUGGUGAAGGAGUGUAUCUUUUCUUAAACUUAGGUUGACAGUAUAAUAGUACACCUCCUAUAAUCACAAAGUAUUUGACAAAAAAGAGCCAACUGUUAUUCUGUUUAAAUUUCAGGAUGCUAAAUCCAUACCAGCAGUUGGCAGUAGCUGAGUCUGGAAUAUUUUCGAAAAAAUUAUAAAUAAUUACCUUUCACAUUUACAAUUUACAUCGAUUUAACUCACAAAGCUUGCCUUAUGAAAGAGUUCUUUAAUAAAAAUAAAACAACAAUAAUAAAUAAAACUAGCCAAAGCUGUCAGCAAGAAUUUGUCAUUUUCAUAACUGAGGUAGAAUAUCCUACAAGUUAAAUAUUGGGUAAAAUGCCCUCUGCACAUUCUUUUCUAUUUUUAUUGAUCUAUUUGUACAUAUUUAUGUACAUCUUUAAAACAACUGCAAUAACAACCUCAUAAUAAAAGCAUAUAUUUGACUCUAAAACAGCCUAAAUAACAGUGUGACAAAAGACAGUGAAUAUCAACUGACCUAAGGAUUUCUCAUGUCAGUUGGUUCAGAAAUUUAAAUUCUGAUUUGUCACAUUCGUGCACAUCUUUUGGAGUGCCUUCCCAGCAUAUCAUGAACGCCCUUGACUGCCUUUGUGUUCCACCUCCAAUGGCAAGUCUUGGAAGCCAUCUUGUAAAGUAUCACAUGUUUCAUUGUCCACCACUGAUUGGACAAGGGGUGGGUACUUUUCCUAAAAUGGGCCAAUCAGCUUCUCUUGUCUGAGAUUUUUGAACUGAAAAUGGGGGUGGAGAAAAUACGUGGCCUCCUUGGGUGGCUGGAUACCUAGAUCCAGGAGAAGCAGUAAAGAAAACAGUGGCAAAGAGAGGAAGCCAACUGGCAUAGAAAGAAUAAAAGGAAACAAAUAAGAAAAGUGGAGAGAUGACAGAUGGAAGAAAGAUGCUAAAGGCUUUGGAGCUCAGCGCCUUCUUAGGGCUCUGCUGCUUUCUUGCCCAUGGGAAUUCUCUUUGGUGCAUAAGUUUGAGUUACAUUGCUCAAAUAUGAGUUAUGAAGUAAUUUAUUGAUUUAUAGCUGAUCCUGCAUUGCAUCUGUAGGACUUUGGAUGCAUCACUUAGACUAUCGAGCUAAAGCUUCCCAAUCUUCAAAAUGGGAGAGUAAUGCCUGCACCACGGGGGUACAGUAAAGAUUAAAUGAAAUAAGGAAUAAAGCACAUAGGCCACCAGUGAAUGCUCAGUAAUUGAUUAUUAUUCUUUUUAAAAUAGAUCAACCUGAAAUACACAUUUUGUAACAUAUAUAUGAG